Molecule: small RNA, 876 nt
Filed under: Arabidopsis thaliana (thale cress)
Lineage: Eukaryota; Viridiplantae; Streptophyta; Magnoliopsida; Brassicales; Brassicaceae
Description: ATSL276620
Source: RNAcentral
GAGCAAAUGCAACACUUGCAUGCGCCAUUGUAUUCAUAUGUGCUGGGUAUGAUUAUAUGGGCGGCUUGUUUCUACAGCUCUUCACCUGCAACCAUUAUCCAUUGGACUCGGUUGCCACUCGAGUUUUGGGUGAUGAGUUCAUCGAGGAAAUAAAGAAGUUUGACCCUCCAUACAGCAAUACAUAUGGUCCUACGUUCUCUUAUCCUACCAGCCAUGGAAUUAGUAUGCCUCCUUGCGCCUUAUAUUGUUACAUGGUAUUAGGAGCUUUCCAAAACGUUUGCAACCGCUGUUACCUUUGGUCGUGUGUUAGACGUGUUAGUCAAAUGCUAUAGUUAUUCCAUUAUACUUUAUUGUUUGUUUAUGUUAUCCGCUAUGUCAUGUUUCAAAUUAUGAUAAGGCUUCUACUAUGUUGUUUAUGUUUAUGUUGAAAUUAUAUUAUUGCUUAAGAAAUUUGCAAGGUGUGUUAUGUUUCUCAAGUUGAAUAUUUUUCAGCCAAAUUCGCAUAUGAUAUUUAGUUCCCGCAGUAAAUGUAAAUUUGGAUAUUAAAAUCUAAGCGUCCACAACUACGUACACGUGCAUCUACCAAAUAAUACUUAAAGGUUUUUGGUUUGUCUCGUAAAACUAGAUAUGGACGUACGCUAGCAUGAGAUAUCAACUCUAACGUACACUAAAAAAUAACACAUGCAAACAUAUGAGGUCUUUAGUUUGUCUCAUAAAUGGUGAUAUUUAUGAAUGGACGUACACUGAUAGUACACUACAGCGUACACUGUUUGUUGGGUAAAUGUAGAAAUAUAAAUGUGGACGUACACUAAAACGUACACUGUUUGUUGGGCAAAUGUAGAAAUGUAAAUGUGGACGUACACUAAAACGUACACU